CAUACAAGCGGGCUUGCCCGCGAUAGCGCUGGCUCAGUCACAGUAGCGUUGACUGACACUCCGUCAUCGCGGGCAAGCCCGCUCCCACA
Molecule: unclassified non-coding RNA, 89 nt
Filed under: Pseudomonas sp. bs2935
Lineage: Bacteria; Pseudomonadati; Pseudomonadota; Gammaproteobacteria; Pseudomonadales; Pseudomonadaceae
Source: RNAcentral